GCCUGGGUGGGUCAGUCGGUUGAGCAUCCGACUUCAGCUCGGGACAUGAUCUCGCGGUCUGUGGGUUCAAGCCCCACGUCGGGCU
RNAcentral lists this transfer RNA (85 nucleotides) under Felis catus (domestic cat). It matches the Rfam family "tRNA". Rfam says of the family: Transfer RNA (tRNA) molecules are approximately 80 nucleotides in length. Their secondary structure includes four short double-helical elements and three loops (D, anti-codon, and T loops). Lineage: Eukaryota; Metazoa; Chordata; Mammalia; Carnivora; Felidae. The record is from Rfam by way of RNAcentral.